CCAGACUCCUACGGGAGGCAGCAGUGGGGGAUAUUGCACAAUGGGGGGAACCCUGAUGCAGCGACGCCGCGUGGGUGAAGGAGUGCUUCGGCAUGUAAAGCCCUAUCGGCAGGGAAGAAGCAAGACGGUACCUGACUAAGAAGCCCCGGCUAACUACGUGCCAGCAGCCGCGGUAAAACGUAGGGUGCAAGCGUUGUCCGGAAUUACUGGGUGUAAAGGGAGCGUAGACGGCAAUACAAGUCGGAAGUGAAAUACCCGGGCUCAACCUGGGAACUGCUUUGGAAACUGUAUGGCUAGAGUGCUGGAGAGGUAAGCGGAAUUCCUAGUGUAGCGGUGAAAUGCGUAGAUAUUAGGAGGAACACCAGUGGCGAAGGCGGCUUACUGGACAGUAACUGACGUUGAGGCUCGAAAGCGUGGGGAGCAAACAGGAUUAGAUACCCGAGUAAC
RNAcentral lists this ribosomal RNA (447 nucleotides) under uncultured bacterium. RNAcentral's name for it is "bacterial SSU rRNA". It matches the Rfam family "Bacterial small subunit ribosomal RNA", at positions 331 to 794 of the family's 1533-position model. The record is from RNAcentral.